Molecule: non-coding RNA, 452 nt
Organism: Podarcis muralis (Common wall lizard)
Lineage: Eukaryota; Metazoa; Chordata; Lepidosauria; Squamata; Lacertidae
Source: RefSeq, a predicted model, not a curated record
UGCAGGACAAGAUCUUGUAAGAAAUGAAGGGCAAUGUAGGAGGAAAAAGGUGUUAUGUUUCAAAACCCGAUGCAAUGAGCAUUACCGUCCUACAGGAAAAUGUGCAAAGAAUGUUGAAUGCUGCCGCUUAAUGUUGGGAUACAAGGAGCAUCCACCUUGACCUUCUGGGAGAUAUGAAGACCGUAUACUUUUUCUAUAUGGUGUUUGCUCUGCUACUCAUUCCCAAUCCAGGAUUCACUGAUGUUUCAGAUGAAGAAUCAUGCAGGUAUGGUGAUGUGCCAGGGCACUGUGUGUUGAAGAAAUGCCCUGAUGGCUAUGAAGACAUUGGAAAUUGUGGAGGAAAGCUUCGUUGCUGUCAUUACUAUCUAGAUCCUGUAAGAAACAGAAGGCAAUGUAAGAAGAUCGAUGGGUCUUGUCACGAACACUUUUGCCUAGUUGGAUUUUUUCCUAAA